This 497-nucleotide ribosomal RNA is filed under the name uncultured bacterium. Its description in RNAcentral is "partial 16S ribosomal RNA". It matches the Rfam family "Bacterial small subunit ribosomal RNA", at positions 28 to 507 of the family's 1533-position model. The record is from RNAcentral.
GAUGAACGCUGGCGGCGUGCCUAAUACAUGCAAGUCGAGCGAACAGACGAGGAGCUUGCUCCUCUGACGUUAGCGGCGGACGGGUGAGUAACACGUGGAUAACCUACCUAUAAGACUGGGAUAACUUCGGGAAACCGGAGCUAAUACCGGAUAAUAUAUUGAACCGCAUGGUUCAAUAGUGAAAGACGGUUUUGCUGUCACUUAUAGAUGGAUCCGCGCCGCAUUAGCUAGUUGGUAAGGUAACGGCUUACCAAGGCAACGAUGCGUAGCCGACCUGAGAGGGUGGUCGGCCACACUGGAACUGGGACACGGUCCAGACUCCUACGGGAGGCAGCAGUAGGUAAUCUUCCGCAAUGGGCGAAAGCCUGACGGAGCAACGCCGCGUGAGUGAUGAAGGUCUUCGGAUCGUAAAACUCUGUUAUUAGGGAAGAACAAAUGUGUAAGUAACUAUGCACGUCUUGACGGUACCUAAUCAGAAAGCCACGGCUAACUACGUG